Molecule: ribosomal RNA, 442 nt
Filed under: uncultured bacterium
Lineage: Bacteria
Description: partial 16S ribosomal RNA
Rfam family: Bacterial small subunit ribosomal RNA
Source: RNAcentral
CCUACGGGUGGCAGCAGUGGGGAAUAUUGGGCAAUGGGCGCAAGCCUGACGCAGCAACGCCGCGUGAAGGAAGAAGGCUUUCGGGUUGUAAACUUCUUUUGUCAGGGAAGAGUAGAAGACGGUGCCUGACGAAUCAGCCACGGCUAACUACGUGCCAACGGCCGCGGUAAUACGUAGGUGGCAAGCGUUGUACGGAUUUACUGGGUGUAAAGGGCGUGUAGCCGGGUUGACAAGUCAGAUGUGAAAUCCUGCGGCUUAACCGCAGAACUGCAUUGGAAACUGUAGAUCUUGAGUACUGGAGAGGCAGGUGGAAUUCCUAGUGUAGCGGGGAAAUGCGUAGAUAUUAGGAGGAACACCAGUGGCGAAGGCGGUCUGCUGGACAGCAACUGACGGUGAGGCGCGAAAGCGUGGGGAGCAAACAGGAUUAGAUACCCCUGUAGUC